This 97-nucleotide signal recognition particle RNA is filed under the name Piscirickettsia litoralis. RNAcentral describes it as "signal recognition particle sRNA small type". It matches the Rfam family "Bacterial small signal recognition particle RNA". Rfam says of the family: The signal recognition particle (SRP) is a universally conserved ribonucleoprotein involved in the co-translational targeting of proteins to membranes. The record is from RNAcentral. Lineage: Bacteria; Pseudomonadati; Pseudomonadota; Gammaproteobacteria; Thiotrichales; Piscirickettsiaceae.
UUUUGGUCCUCUCGCAACACUAGAUUGUGAACCCCGUCAGGUCCGGAAGGAAGCAGCGGUAGUGAUUGAUGUGUGUGCCGGGAUUCGGCUGAAGAAG